UAUGCCAGGGUCUCGCCAUCCAUGAUUUUAUUUGAGCCUCACCGAAACUCAGUGAGGCAAGCACCUUUACCUCCAGGGUACAGAUAAGAAAACUUACACCUUUGGGAUGUUAAGAAACUUGUCAUUAAGAGAGCGAUGAAACCAACAUCUUAAACCCUAAAUCAGAGCUCAUUAAGGCAACCUACCCGUUUCAUCCACCAACCAGCCAACUUUUUCCUACAAUUAUUUUGACAUAUUUUUAGUCAAAUGACUUUUUGGCUUAUGAAUCUACUAAACAGUAAAAUCAAAAUAGUAGCAUCAUCCAGAAGCAAUCAAAGGCCUUCAUGUGGUGUCAGACAUCAGUUUCACCAGGAGAUCACGAAGGAACUCUCCAUCGAGCUUACCCUGAUCUCCGACCUCGGCUGUGUCCAAGGUGGCCGAGGGGCCUUGGAUGAAGAAGGUCGAAGAAUAUUUCGUCUUCAGCCUCCCCUUGCCCCCACGCCCAAGCUCAUCUCGGAGGGCGGUGCUAUUUCAGUCCAGCAGACUCUCCCGAAGUAGGACUCUGAUGCAGGUCUGCUGAGUUUCAGGAGAAAUGGGAAAUCUUUAUUCUCACUGGAAAACUUCCAGAAUUUUAAAUGCUGGUGCACAGUUUCAAAACAUGUUUUAAAUCCGUCUGUGGUUGCUUCGCCCAUUGCUGUCUCUGAAGGCCUCCGGUUUAGGAACGUGGUGGUGUGGGGAAGACAGGAACGUAUCUAGGAAGGGGAAGGGGGCCGCCAUCUUUCCACUCCUUCUGAGCCCUUUUCCCUCAGUCACCUGGCCGCUCUUCAGUCCAUGAACUCCAUUUGCAAAUGACCGGGGUCAGUUGGCUUGCAAUUGUCCCAAAGAUGGGCCAGACUGGUGCAACGAGAACCUUCCCAGAGGUGGCUGUACCGGGGACCAAGAGUGGCAGCUAGUCUUUAUCGGUGACCAAGCAGCAUGAGAGGCGGGCCCAUCACCAUCUGAGGGAACUGAUGUGCGGAGGAGAGAGAGAAACAGAGUCGGAGAAGCAGCUGAGACCCUGCUUCCAGGACUUCCCCACACUGGGUUACGCGUCUGCCCUUCUCACGUCAUGUGAGCCAUCCACAAAAUUCUCCUUUUGCUUCUUCAUUUGAAUGACACUUCUUUCGAUACAGAAAACAACAACAAAAAACCCUGAACAAGACCCCAGGACAAGUUAAUGAA
Molecule: long non-coding RNA, 1200 nt
Organism: Leopardus geoffroyi (Geoffroy's cat)
Lineage: Eukaryota; Metazoa; Chordata; Mammalia; Carnivora; Felidae
Exons: 2
Source: RefSeq, a predicted model, not a curated record